UACGUAGGGUGCAAGCGUUGUCCGGAAUUAUUGGGCGUAAAGAGCUCGUAGGCGGUUUGUCGCGUCUGCUGUGAAAGCCCGGGGCUUAACCCCGGGUCGGCAGUGGAUACGGGCAGGCUAGAGGUAGGUAGGGGAGAAUGGAAUUCCCGGUGUAGCGGUGAAAUGCGCAGAUAUCGGGAGGAACACCGGUGGCGAAGGCGGUUCUCUGGGCCUUACCUGACGCUGAGGAGCGAAAGCGUGGGGAGCGAACAGG
RNAcentral lists this ribosomal RNA (253 nucleotides) under uncultured bacterium. RNAcentral's name for it is "partial 16S ribosomal RNA". It matches the Rfam family "Bacterial small subunit ribosomal RNA", at positions 524 to 776 of the family's 1533-position model. The record is from RNAcentral.